RNAcentral lists this ribosomal RNA (466 nucleotides) under Vreelandella stevensii. RNAcentral's name for it is "partial 16S ribosomal RNA". It matches the Rfam family "Bacterial small subunit ribosomal RNA", at positions 337 to 795 of the family's 1533-position model. Lineage: Bacteria; Pseudomonadati; Pseudomonadota; Gammaproteobacteria; Oceanospirillales; Halomonadaceae. The record is from RNAcentral.
CCCUACGGGGGGCUGCAGUGGGGAAUAUUGGACAAUGGGGGCAACCCUGAUCCAGCCAUGCCGCGUGUGUGAAGAAGGCCCUCGGGUUGUAAAGCACUUUCAGUGAGGAAGAACGCCUGGUGGUUAAUACCCAUCAGGAAAGACAUCACUCACAGAAGAAGCACCGGCUAACUCCGUGCCAGCAGCCGCGGUAAUACGGAGGGUGCGAGCGUUAAUCGGAAUUACUGGGCGUAAAGCGCGCGUAGGUGGCUUGAUAAGCCGGUUGUGAAAGCCCCGGGCUCAACCUGGGAACGGCAUCCGGAACUGUCAAGCUAGAGUGCAGGAGAGGAAGGUAGAAUUCCCGGUGUAGCGGUGAAAUGCGUAGAGAUCGGGAGGAAUACCAGUGGCGAAGGCGGCCUUCUGGACUGACACUGACACUGAGGUGCGAAAGCGUGGGUAGCAAACAGGAUUAGAUACCCCAGUAGUC